RNAcentral lists this transfer RNA (72 nucleotides) under Candidatus Aenigmatarchaeota archaeon. RNAcentral describes it as "tRNA-Met". It matches the Rfam family "tRNA". From Rfam's summary of the family: Transfer RNA (tRNA) molecules are approximately 80 nucleotides in length. Their secondary structure includes four short double-helical elements and three loops (D, anti-codon, and T loops). Further hydrogen bonds mediate the characteristic L-shaped molecular structure. tRNAs have two regions of fundamental functional importance: the anti-codon, which is responsible for specific mRNA codon recognition, and the 3' end, to which the tRNAs corresponding amino acid is attached (by aminoacyl-tRNA synthetases). tRNAs cope with the degeneracy of the genetic code in two manners: having more than one tRNA (with a specific anti-codon) for a particular amino acid; and 'wobble' base-pairing, i.e. permitting non-standard base-pairing at the 3rd anti-codon position. The record is from RNAcentral. Lineage: Archaea; Nanobdellati; Candidatus Aenigmatarchaeota.
GCCGAAGUGGCUCAGUGGUAGAGCACCCGACUCAUAAUCGGGAGGUCGUGGGUUCGAUACCCACCUUCGGCA